Long non-coding RNA from Scylla paramamosain (green mud crab), 649 nucleotides. RefSeq lists it as uncharacterized. The transcript is spliced from 2 exons. The record is from RefSeq and is a predicted model, not a curated record. NCBI's taxonomy places the organism in Eukaryota, Metazoa, Arthropoda, Malacostraca, Decapoda, Portunidae.
CACAGAAAGAGGAGGAGGAGGAGGAGGAGGAGGAGGAGGAGGAGGAGGAGGAAGAGGCCAGAAAUAGUAUAAGAUAUAAGGAGGGAAAGACUCGAGAACCGUCAGAUAGUUGCAGACCAUCACUAAGAGAAGCAACAGCACAACACGACCACCAGUACUUCGUCAGAUCAUCGACCUUCAGCUUCACACACACACACACACACACACACACACACACACACACACACACACACACAGCACGUGGACAAAAAAUAUUCCAGAACGAAGGAGAGAGAACAAGCAGAUAUAAAACAACAACAACAACAACAACAAACAAAAGUAAAGCAGCGGUUUCAACUUAAUUAAAGAGAAGGAAAGCAGUGUGGUGGUGGUGGUGGUGGUGGUGGUGGUGGUGGUUGAGAGGGGGCGGGGGUGAAGGUGUUACUAGUGGUAGUGAAGUAUUUUUAUCCUCUUGGCAACGUAUAACCUACACACACACACACACACACACACACACACACACACACACACACACACACACACAGAUAAACAGACUGAUAGAUAGACAUUUUAUCGACCGCAAAUUUGCCAAUAUCAUUUAAGAACAUAACACACACACACACACACACACACACACACACACACACACACACACACACACACACGUACA